CUGAUACUGACAAUUUGAAAAUACUUGAGUUCAAAUUCAUCCAUAACGAACAACCAUUUCCUUCUCUCAUUAAUGACCACAUUAUAAUCAAUCCUAUCUUUGAUCCUGUAGUGGUCAGAGCAAAAAUGGAGACGGCUUUGUUGGGUGGAGGAGAAGGCAGCAGUGGCGACCAAAGAAGGGAUCGUAGGAACUUGUUUAACAGAACAGAUGCCAUUGCUUAUGGAUCAACAUACCAGAAGGCCGCUGCUUUGGUUGAUCUCGUAUGUUUCUUGUUUUUUUAUGUUAAGUUUCAUAAUAUUGAAUAAAAAUGUUGUAGCAGUAUAGUUUAGCUGGUAAUUCAAUGUGGGUAUGUCUGUACAUUGAAGAAUAUGAUGUUAAAGUUGAUGAAGAUAUAAUAGAUUCUGUUAAAGCGUCUAUUUUAAACGCAAUUGGUAUUGAAAAUGGGGAUUCCGACUUUACUGAAUUCUUGGAAAGUCUAUUAAGAAAAGUGGACGUGUGUAGGGAUAUUUUGAUCUUGAUAAUUUGCUUAAGAUAUGAAAUUUCUUUGAAUUACGAUUGGGUGAUGGUUUUUGCAAGUUGUACUUUUCACAUUUGUAAUGACGUGGGCACCUUAAGUUAGUAUGUUUGUGGUGGAUUAAUUACUUGGUAUCAAGAAUUUUUAUGAAGGAAAAGAUAGUCUGUGGUGGAAGGUUUUGGGUCCGUGGCAACUGGCAUUAGAGAACGACUUACUGUAAGUGUAGAAAUAGUGGAUAUUUCGAACUUACUGAAUAUAUUUCUUUCUGAAUAUAAUUCUUUUGUCAAUUCAAUUCACCACCUGGAUUUGUAAAUAGUGAAAGUGUUAUGGAUUCAAGUUAAGUUUUACUGGCCCCAGAAAAUGGGAACGUUUCUUAUAUUGGUGACCACAAAUAAACAUGAUUACACUCUAUUCAGCAUUUUUUACUGCAUCGUAGACCAAAAUUGUUCCUGAAGCCUUGCAUGGUUGACCGAACUCAUUUCAUUUGGUAUUGAAGUCACCUAUGAGGUGCUAUCCCUCAUCUGAACUCUGGAUGUGGAUUGUCAAUAGACUGGAUGCUACAAGAAUAGUACGUAUUUUUCUGUUUUUGUUUUUUGUUUUCUUUUUGGGGGGUGGGUGGGUGGUGUGAGGGGUUGAUAAGACCUUGCCUUCAUAACACCUGGACUCAUAUCAGUUUGGUGGUAACUACUACUUGGAUGCUCAAGCAUUUCCGGAUCAGUUGGCUUGUGCCAAUGCUAAGUAGAUUUCUGGGGCGUAAUUCCAACACUGGAAUAUCAAGGAAAUUAGAGGAUACCUUCAUGCGUAUUAAAGGAUGAGAAUGUCAUCAGUACAGUACCUUGGAUAGAGACAUAUUCCUGAAAAUAUCUGGAAUGCUUAUAGCAAUCUCUGCUUGCCCCCCCUUUAUAAUGAUUUGAAAUAUCUCUUGCAUUUGCAGGCUGAAGAUGGUGUUGGUAUACCUGAGGAAAUUCUUGAUAACUCGAGCUUUGCAAGUUCUCUGAAAUCCUACUUCAUAUUUAUUCGAUUUGACUUUCUCUGGUCUCUUAACUACUUUGCAUUAAUCAUUCUAAAUUUCUUUGAGGUUUGUGUAUCUUCCUAACUCCUAGUAUAUCUAUUUUUUCUCUUUUUUUGUUUGACAUUAAAUAAUUAUUUAUGAUUUAGAGAUAUUUUUUAUUAUUAUUAUUUUUUUUAAGUUCAAUAUUUGUUGGAAUUGAUACUUAAAACUACGUUUGGUUUACAUCCGCAGAAACCUCUAUGGUGUUCUGGGUAUUGCAAUAAUAGAGGUUACUACUUUCUCGGGCAGCUGCCAUACUUGACUGGUGCUGAGAGUCUUGUAUAUGAGGUAAGGUCGAAAUAGUACACCCAACAUCAUGGAUGAAUAUUUAUCUGAAUUUUGGCUAUUGCUAUAGUUGCCUUUCUUUGACCAUAACAAAUUGGAUUGAAGAAAAAAUAAGUUGUACUAAUUUUUCCUUUUUGGGGUUGGGGGCGGACAUAAGAUCCAGAAAUUUUGAUUUAAAUAUUUAAAAAUAUAUAACAAAACAAUCAUCUGUGAGGCUAAUAUAGAUAUUAGACGUGCUUGUGUUCAAAAAUCAUUUUAGCAGAAGAAAAAAUCUACAGUGGAUAACGAUUAACAAAGAUAGUGAAACGGUCGAACCAAAACUCCACAUCCUUAGAUUUUAUGCUUUUGAUGAGAAGAUGGAAUGAAAAGAAUGAGAAGUCUGUAAAAACAUGCCAGAUUCGGAAUGUCUUUUAAACAUUGGUAUGUAUUCUAUUGUACUAACAACUCUGGCAGUCAAUUAUUGGAUGCUCGCCUGCUAUAAAAGUUGCACAGAUCUCAGUUGUUUUAGGUCAAUGAUUGACACUUUUGGUUAGUGAUGAAUAAAUAUAAACUAAUUUUUGAUAGCCAAAAAAAGCUGAAUGGGCAGUUGCCGUGUACAAACUUAUUUAUCAAGCAGGAGUAAGAAAAAGAACAAGAAGUCCUUAAAAUGAAAAAUAUACAUAGGACACAAAAUUGAAUUUAAUGGCAGUCAACAAGGCAUGCAGUUUUUCUGGUGUUGUAUUAUCCAGUGUUACAAGAACCGGACCCCUGUCAGUUCAACCUGGAAAAAUGGGGGAACCGGUCUAGAAACAGAAAAUAUAAAAACUAAAAAAAUUCGUAACAUAAUCAAUGAUCUGACCGGUUCUGGUUCUCCUGAACACAAACCGGUUUUACCGGCUUUUUCAAGUUAUACUUUCAAACAAACAAAAAAAAAAUCAUAUAUUUACUUUUAUUUUUUUUUAACCAUCGGGACUCCACUUCGACCCUUUACCCUCUGUGUUUUCUUUCUGCACAUGAAUUGUGUAGCACUUUGCUAUGAAACAAGACAGUUUACUGCACUAUAGAAAUGGAUAUAUGAAUGUUAAAAUGCAAUUCCACCUGCACUUCUACUAGUAGCUGAAGUUAUGGAAUAGUUUAUUGAUCUGAAACUUCUUGCAGUUCUUUAUGUUUUAAGUCUUACUUCGUGCUACUUUUGAAAAUAUACAUACAUAACUAGAGUUCCACACUCUUGUAUUUCUUGUAGAUUGAACUUUUCUCGUACUACCUUUUGCAGGUUGUUACACUCUUGAUCCUAAUUUUACAUACUCUGUUUCCAUUAUCAUAUGAAGGGAUUGGUUUCUUCUGGAGAAAACUUCUUAACAAAGUUAAGGUAUUCACUUUUAAUUAUGAUUUCAUAAUUUGCUGCAAGAAGCUUCAUUCAAAAGGUCUUAUCUUAUUAAGGAUCAUGUACAUGAUAAAGAAAGUUAAUCGUGAAAUAUUUCUUCCUUGUUUUGCACAUAUGUCUUAUAUGUUUUUCUGAAUUCUCUCAUUCGGGGGCAGAACUAUAUAUUUUUAAGGUUUGGCUUCCCAUUCAAUUUAUAAAAUAUUUUUAACAGCAUGCACGUUUUGAUAUGUUGUUCAGUAUUUCAGCUCCUCUUAGAGAAUGUGGUGAGCAUUCAAAUAAAUCAAAUCUUAUGUAGUUUCUUGUACCAAAAUCGGAAUGAUGCUGCCUCCUAAAUUAGAAUAUUGACUUCGAUCUUUUUGCAUUGACACACUUGAAUAUACCAAUUUUCCAAUUUCUAAAUAAACUUAUUGCUUUUGCCUGAUACAUGGUUUAUCAAUUUGUACCAUGUUAAUCUCGUUUAGCAUAUUAGUUUUCUUAUAUAUUUUUUUUGCCCAUUCAAGUGUUACAGCAAAUGAUUUUGUUUGUGCUAUUAAUAUCUUGAGAACUCAAUUUCUUUUGUUUUGUUUUUUGUUUUUUUUUUUAAGAUCAUAAUUUCUAUUUUCUCACGAGUAGAGGAACAUUAUGUGACUACAUCAGAUAUAAACAACACAGAGAUUUUCAUAUCAAGCACUAAGUGAUAAAGAUCUACAGUUUAUGCAGCCAUUCCUUGCUCCCUAACAAUCAACUGGAAUUAAGUAAAACAGUUAUAGAAAGUAAAGAAAUCUUGAGGAAAAAGUGGGUUUUACUGUUAGACAAUAAUCACGGGUCUUUCCUAUGAUGUAAACAUGUGAACAGAGGAAGCAGUAUAUUUUGAUGGAAAAAUAAGUGUUUCUGAAAUGAAGAGGCCUAUGGUAUAAACUGAGAACAAGAAUGGAUGGUUUUGUGUUUAUUUUCAUUUUUAAUCUCCAACUUUUCCAGAUAUGUUCUGUACCUGUUUUUUUCUUUAUCAACUUGUAUUACAUGAAAAGAAGAACAGAAGAGAAGCUAUAAUGGAGUCCUUUGUUACAUUAUGGUCAUCUACAAUACGUGGAAGGACUUAUAACAUAUAUCAUAUUUUUUAUUGCUUAUGAUUGGAUAUGUGAACUGUUGAAAUGAAUUUGUUAUGGCUUAAAAUCAAGAAUUGAAACGAAAAAUUAUUGGCCAGACUAGUUUGGUUUCAACUUGAAUUGUCUUUUUGGUACCAUUGAAACGAUAAAUUUUAAAAAUUGAACCUUGAUAAAUAAUCAGUUCUUUUAUUGAUUUUUAGGUACUUCUGUUGUUACUAUUGGUUGCCGAUCUAUUAGUCUAUGUUAUCUAUCUGUCCCCAGUGGCAUUCUAUACUCUUCCGUUUAGGAUUGCACCCUAUAUACGGGUUGUAUUUUUCAUCCUGAACAUCAGGUAUGGUAUGGGUAGUUGGAUACCCUAUUACAGUUUUUCUCCUGCAUUAUGUUCUCAUUUGUGCUUUCUGGAUUUUUCGUCUUUCCCUGGGGUGCUAUGUCCCAUUAGGAUUUAUACAUUGGUUUUGGAAUAACUCUUCCUGAUUACAAAGUUCCAUCUUCUAGCUGGCACGCUCUUGAACAUUGAAAUCCUAUUGUUGUCUUUUGGACUAAGGUUUGGGAUUAUCAUUUGGUGGAAAAGUUUGCCUGUCAAUUCGGGUAGAUGAGUUUUCCAGUUUUGAUGCUGCUUUUCAACUGGUAGAAGCAGUCUUCACAAGGUGAACAUUGGUUUUUAUUGGAAUCAUGUUCAGAUGGAUGCAAGGUUAUGGACUGAAUAAAUUACCAAAUUUACAAUAUAUGAAACUGAUUUCCACCUUUCGACUAUACAUAGGUGAAAACUUAAAACCAUGAUAAGCAUAUCAUUCAUUAGAAUUGAUUGUCAGUUAUGGUGCCCACUUGAGGGCGAUUGCUUGGAGAAAGAAGAGGUUGGAAUUUGUUGAUUUUCAAUUAACCCAACACACAGGAAGAGGAAAUACCAUUCUUCCCAAAAAGGAUACUCUAAGCCAAUCAUAUGCCACGUAGCAUCAUUUAAUUCCUUCGCGUGACUGCUAAUUUCCACUAACUGAAUUGCUUCUUAAUUUUGUAAAUUGACAUUAGGGAUUUACGAGAUAGCAUUGUCAUCCUGGCUGGAAUGUUCGGCACGUACCUUAAUAUUCUGGUGCGUCCACUUAGUAGUUCUGGUACUUAUCUUCAAAAGAAUUUAUUACACAUAUAAUUGAAGUAUUGCCACUAUUAUGAUCUUUCUAUCUCUUCAAUUUCACGAGUGAAAUUUGAUUGUGCUUUUUGCCUUUCUGGGGACCUAAUGCAGGCUCUAUGGGCUUUGUUUCUCUUGUUCUGUAGCUGGUUGGCAUUUGUUAUUUUUGAAGAUACGCAACAGGGAAAGACUAUAUUCACUUCAUAUGGUACCACAUUAUACCAAAUGUUUGUUUUAUUUACGACUUCCAAUAACCCAGAUGUCUGGAUUCCUGCAUACAAGUAAGUAGCUUUGAAACAUUGGUUUUUUAGAUUCAUCCUCUUCUCUCUUUCUAAUAUUGCCUAUUUAUUAUGCUGCAUUCCUUCCCCCUACCUUGCACCGUUAAGGUAGUCAUACAGCACACACAGGAGAAGAUUUGAAUUUACGUCCAAGCAACACUGCUAAACCUUUAGAACUUAUUAACGACUUCUAUAGUUAUCAAUUUCCAUAUUGUUCUACUAUUUGCUUAUAACUGAUUUUCUCUUGUUUUAUUCACCUCCAUGAUAUGUUGGUUCAUAGGGCCUCACGGUGGUAUUGCCUAUUUUUUGUUCUCUACGUGCUGUUGGGCGUUUACUUUGUCACCAAUUUGAUUCUUGCUGUUGUAUAUGAUAGCUUUAAAAGUGAGGUAUUUGAUGCAUCCCUUGCACUAUAUUUUUACGCUAACACUUUUUCUGUAUAACUCAUAUAUUAUCCAAUUGCCCAAUAUGAGAUGAAAUAUAUCACUUGCCAUUGUAGAAGGAAUGGAGCUUCAAACUCCUACUUCAGAUUUGGAGGCAUUAUACUAAAUUGCUGUCUUUCUUUUUUGGCAUUCAUUGUUGUCUUACAAAAAGCACUAUACACCAUUUAGAUGUCAAUUUGUGACUUCUUGUUCUCAUGUUGACAGCUUGAUGUGUAUCUAAUACUAGUUUUUGUUACAGCUCGUAAAACAAGUCGAUCAGAAGGAUCGUACAAGGAUGAGAAUACUAAAGAAAGCAUUUGACCUGAUGGAUAAUUAUGUGAGUAUAUUUUUUUAUCUUCAUGUUGUGAAUGAUGGUUGGGUAUACUUUAUGUUUUCCAUUCGUAUGGGUUGGGCGUGAGUUGGGUUGGAUUGAUUUUUUAUCCAAUCCAAAUCCAACCUGACAUGGUGUGUUUGAUUUAAAAUCAAACCAACGAAAUCUAAUUACUUGUUUAAACUCAACCCAAACCGAUAAAAUUUGGGUUGGUUUAGGUUGUGUUGAUUGAUUUGGGCUUGGGCCCAAUUCAAGUUGGAUUCGAUUACUUUUUGUUGAAUUUGAACAAUUUUUAAAGUUUAAAAUCACUUGAAAAUCUUCAUUAUUUUUAACAUAAAUAAGGAAUUCAUUUUGAAUUUUGAAUUUUAUAAAUUAGUUUAAAACUAUGGAGCAUUUUCUUUUUUGUAACUUUUUUGGGAUUUAUUCAUUUUAUUAUCACAUCCUUAAUUUUUAGUUUAUCGUCAAAUUAUUUUGCAUUUCUACAUAAUAUUCAUACCAAUCGACCUAUGUAAAAAAUGGAACGUUUGUACAUUCUAAAUCCUUCUCUUAUCUCCACUAUUGUGUCUAAUUCAUUGGGUUGGGUUGAAUUGGGUUUUAAUUCAUAACCUGAGACUCAAUCCAACCCCACCUCAAUUUUCAUUUUUCAACCUAACCCAACUCAAUUGGACUUAAAAACCAACCCAAACCGAUCGGUUUGCGUUGGGUUGGUCAGUUUAAGUGGUUUGGGUUGGUUUAACUUUUAAAAAGCUUGACCAAUUGAUUUUCUUCUAAACCAAAGCAUAAUAAUCAUGUGAAAUUUUGUAAAUUGGUAGAAUCAUGCUAUUUACCCUUCAUGUGUUGUUAUAAUAGUGAGCACCAAUUCUAAUCUGAAUCUGCCCCUGCAAUUCCUCCCAUCGGUUAGUAAAUUUGAUAUUUGAUUUUUCCAUGAGGAUUCCUUCCUGCACUUCUGCUUUCCCCUAUUGGAUCUGAAACUAUGGUGUAAAAUGAAGUUGAUUUUUUUGGGAUAAUUUCUAUGAUUGGUACGGGUCAUAUUUGCAAAUGAUAUAAUAGAAAAUGAAGCAAAAAGAGGCAUAUUCGUUGUUGAAGAUGUAAUUUAAAUGAAUUCAGCAUGGUAAGCAAAGGUUCUGAGUUCGAGUCUCAUCACCAUCCAUUUAUGAAAAUGGUAUGCGUAUCAAGCCUUUGAUAAAAAAAUGAAUCUGGCCUGUGCACCUUGUGGAACAUGUUGAAGACAUAAUAGAUUUAUAGAUGCUUGUUCUCUCUUGCACCUUAAACUUUUAGAUAAUGUGAUUCUGUUAUGAUGACCUUGUGCAUGUCUGAUUAUACUUCAGCCAUUGAGAACUGCUAUGGCCCAUAUCCAUCACUCAUAUUAUUAGAGAGCCAUUGGAUGCAUUGCCUCCGUGAACUUUCAAUUGCAGUAUGCUGCAACCCCAACCCAAUCUGUCGCCCAAACACACAAAUACAGAGGCCACUUUCACCAUCUCCAUCCACAUAAGGGAGAUUGCUCACACAUAUUGCCUUCCAUUAAUCAACUAGGUUUCUUUUUUAAAUUCUUUCUAUUUUUUACCUAGGACUUCAUAUAAUUGACUUGGCACUCGCCAUCUACUUGUUCAACUUUUUGACAACUUGAAAAAACUAAAAGCUUUGCCCUCUUUAUCCAUCCAAGGGAUGGAAGGGUAGAGGCCUUUGGUGUCACCUUCCGUCAAGAUUUGGCCUCAUAAUUACUAGCCUGUAGUUUUUUUUUUUUCCAUGCAUUUCUUCGUUAAUGGUUUGAUAUUCUAGUGGUUGGUUUCAUUAUCAUGUAUCGGCCCCAAAAUUGGCUUGGUUUUAAGAUGUAGAAUCUAUGGUGAGUCACCAUUUAGUGGGGGUCAGGGGGUGGUAUCUUUCUACUCUUGUUAUGAAGUUACAGUUACAGUUAUACCACAUUUGAAGUGUCUCAGUAAUUGUGGAUCUGGGAUAAUUAUAAAGAUAAUCCUAUGUUUUAGCAUUGUGGAUUUGAAAAUUGAAAAAAAAAAAAAAAAAAUGGUUGACAAGAAGCUUAACUGUUGGUUCUCCUAGGAUCAUCUAGGGGAUUGAUGGAAUUCGGUUGUAAUAUGAAUUUUUGGCUAACCUGGGCUGUCCUAACACAUGUAAUGGGAUUGUAAGCCCCACUUGUCCUUGUUGAAAGAAAAAAGUUUUUUUUGAUGAGUUCUUUGUUGAAAGAAAAAAGUAGUAAAGAAUGGGAAAAUAAUUAUUACUUCUGACCUCUGCUCCCAAAUGAAAAGCUGGGCUAGCAAGCCAUGUGUCAAGUACUGUUAUGACCAUUCCAAGUUAUUAUAGUUAAUUGAAUUUUGAUUAAGUAAUCAUGUAAGUUGGUGGAUAAAUUUUAUGGAACGCUAUCAAUUAAAUAUCCAUGGAAAGAACAAUUCGUCUUUGCUUCAAUAUGUAAACAAUCAUUACAGAGCAUAUCUGGACAUCAAAGACGAAAUGAAAACUUGACCUUUGAAAAUUUUAUUUGAAGAAAAGAACCAUUUUGUUAAUGAUUAGAAUUUAAGAAUUUGCUACUAGAGAAAUUGGGUAGAUGGCUUUAAUUCUAAGACAUGGAUAAUUCAUGAUUGGAGUUAGUUAAGUGGUUGAUAAUGCACGGACAACUCAACCCGAGUUAUUCAAGGAGGCAGUUAGUAGAUAAUUAAGUUUUGAUCCAUUUGAAAGCACAAGUUAAACUCUUUGUGAACCUAUACUUUGAUGUGUUAAGUCAGACAUACCGAAUUAGCAUAUUUGGAAUUUAGUUUUUUGAAGAAUUUAUGGGUUGAAAUGAAGUUCUGCAAAAAUGAAGGACAAGUAUUCCUCCAGCUAAAAUAAGCAUUAAAUCUGGGAAUUCUGUAAUACAUUUUUUAAUUUCCCANGUGAACCUAUACUUUGAUGUGUUAAGUCAGACAUACCGAAUUAGCAUAUUUGGAAUUUAGUUUUUUGAAGAAUUUAUGGGUUGAAAUGAAGUUCUGCAAAAAUGGAGGACAAGUAUUCCUCCAGCUAAAAUAAGCAUUAAAUCUGGGAAUUCUGUAAUACAUUUUUUAAUUUCCCACAUGGCAACUACGUAGGAAAGCCAAUCCAUUGCUUGUUCCUUGUCCAUUUCUCUAAGCAAAUUAUUUUUAUCUGUAAUUGUACAGGCUUGUCUUCAAACCUAGCUAGAACUGUUUCUUUUAUUUUUAAACAUUCUUUUGAUUUUAUGUUUUCAUUUGUUUCACACUUCUUGUAAUUGACAGAAUCUUAAUUAUCUCAACAAGGAUCAGUGUAUUCUUCUGUUCGAAGAACUGAAC
RNAcentral lists this long non-coding RNA (9742 nucleotides) under Olea europaea subsp. europaea. The record is from RNAcentral. Lineage: Eukaryota; Viridiplantae; Streptophyta; Magnoliopsida; Lamiales; Oleaceae.